Non-coding RNA from Cucurbita pepo subsp. pepo (vegetable marrow), 445 nucleotides. The record is from RefSeq and is a predicted model, not a curated record. NCBI's taxonomy places the organism in Eukaryota, Viridiplantae, Streptophyta, Magnoliopsida, Cucurbitales, Cucurbitaceae.
CUGAGAUCUACUUAAUUGUAGUCUCCUUCUUCUUCCUGCAACUCUAAGCUUCAAAAAUGGCGAAACUGGAGCCGCUUGAUGGGCUAGCCAAAGAUAACAGUGUCUCUGGAAAGAAGCAGAAGAGAAAUCAUGGGUCGACUUCCUUUUUCGUCUUCGUCGAUUACCUUUUCCUCUUCAUCUUUCUUGGCUUCCUGUUCUUCAUCCUGUUCAAGAUGUUCGCUGUCUGAGCCGACACAGAUUUCCACCUCCCAGUUUGAAGAUUAGGUACCCAAAUGAUAGAACUGUAGAUACGUUAGAAGUACAGGUUUGGUUAGAGCUACAAGAGGAGGUAUCUUCAUCUUUUUUUAUUAUAGACCUGAGUUUAGUGUUCUCUCUAAAUGCUACUUGUUGCAGAAUUAAUAUCAUCAUAAUGAAUCUUGUUUGGUGAAUUGCAUUGAAGUAUUGG